CAGACGGGAGGCAGCAGUGAGGAAGAUUGGUCAAUGGUCGUGAGUCUGAACCAGCCAAGUAGCGUGAAGGAUGACUGCCCUAUGGGUUGUAAACUUCUUUUAUGAAGGAAUAAAACGCGGCACGUGUGCCUUUUUGCAUGUACUUUAUGAAUAAGGACCGGCUAACUCCGUGCCAGCAGCCGCGGUAAUACGGAGGUUCCGGGCGUUAUCCGGAUUUAUUGGGUUUAAAGGGAGCGUAGGGCGGUUGUUAAGUCAGUUGUGAAAUUUUGCGGCUCAACCGUGAAACUGCGAUUGAAACUGGCAUGCUUGAGUACGGUUGAGGUAUGCGGAAUUCGUGGUGUAGCGGUGAAAUGCUUAGAUAUCACGAAGAACCCCGAUUGCGAAGGCAGCUUACUAAAGCGUUACUGACAUUGAUGCUCGAAGGUGUGGGUAUCGAACAGGAUUAGAUACCCUUGUAGUC
This 460-nucleotide ribosomal RNA is filed under the name uncultured bacterium. RNAcentral's name for it is "partial 16S ribosomal RNA". It matches the Rfam family "Bacterial small subunit ribosomal RNA", at positions 338 to 795 of the family's 1533-position model. The record is from RNAcentral.